Molecule: ribosomal RNA, 406 nt
Filed under: uncultured bacterium
Lineage: Bacteria
Description: bacterial SSU rRNA
Rfam family: Bacterial small subunit ribosomal RNA
Source: RNAcentral
UUUUGGACAAUGGGCGCAAGCCUGAUCCAGCAAUGCCGCGUGCAGGAAGAAGGCCUUCGGGUUGUAAACUGCUUUUGUACGCCCACGCCCCCGGUCCUGGUUAAUACCUGGGGCUAAUGACGGUACCGUAAGAAUAAGCACCGGCUAACUACGUGCCAGCAGCCGCGGUAAUACGUAGGGUGCAAGCGUUAAUCGGAAUUACUGGGCGUAAAGCGUGCGCAGGCGGUUUUGUAAGUCAGAUGUGAAAUCCCCGAGCUCAACUUGGGAACUGGCUUUGAAACUACAAGACUAGAAUAGGUCAGAGGGGGGUAGAAUUCCACGUGUAGCAGUGAAAUGCGUAGAGAUGUGGAGGAAUAUCAAUGGCGAAGGCAGCCCCCUGGGAUCAUAUUGACGCUCAUGCACGAAA